GCCUGGGUGGCUCAGUAGGUUGAGCGUCUGACUUCGGCUCAGGUCAUGAUCUUAUGGUUCAUGAGUUCGAGCCCUGUUUUGGGCU
Molecule: transfer RNA, 85 nt
Filed under: Felis catus (domestic cat)
Lineage: Eukaryota; Metazoa; Chordata; Mammalia; Carnivora; Felidae
Rfam family: tRNA
About the family: Transfer RNA (tRNA) molecules are approximately 80 nucleotides in length. Their secondary structure includes four short double-helical elements and three loops (D, anti-codon, and T loops).
Source: Rfam by way of RNAcentral